UUAAGCGACUAAGCGUACACGGUGGAUGCCCUGGCAGUCAGAGGCGAUGAAGGACGUGCUAAUCUGCGAUAAGCGUCGGUGAGGUGAUAUGAACCGUUAUAACCGGCGAUUUCCGAAUGGGGAAACCCAGUGUGUUUCGACACACUAUCAUUAACUGAAUCCAUAGGUUAAUGAGGCGAACCGGGGGAACUGAAACAUCUAAGUACCCCGAGGAAAAGAAAUCAACCGAGAUUCCCCCAGUAGCGGCGAGCGAACGGGGAGGAGCCCAGAGCCUGAAUCAGUGUGUGUGUUAGUGGAAGCGUCUGGAAAGGCGUGCGAUACAGGGUGACAGCCCCGUACACAAAAAUGCACAUAUUGUGAGCUCGAUGAGUAGGGCGGGACACGUGGUAUCCUGUCUGAAUAUGGGGGGACCAUCCUCCAAGGCUAAAUACUCCUGACUGACCGAUAGUGAACCAGUACCGUGAGGGAAAGGCGAAAAGAACCCCGGCGAGGGGAGUGAAAAAGAACCUGAAACCGUGUACGUACAAGCAGUGGGAGCCUCUUAAUGGGGUGACUGCGUACCUUUUGUAUAAUGGGUCAGCGACUUAUAUUCUGUAGCAAGGUUAACCGAAUAGGGGAGCCGAAGGGAAACCGAGUCUUAACUGGGCGUUAAGUUGCAGGGUAUAGACCCGAAACCCGGUGAUCUAGCCAUGGGCAGGUUGAAGGUUGGGUAACACUAACUGGAGGACCGAACCGACUAAUGUUGAAAAAUUAGCGGAUGACUUGUGGCUGGGGGUGAAAGGCCAAUCAAACCGGGAGAUAGCUGGUUCUCCCCGAAAGCUAUUUAGGUAGCGCCUCGUGAAUUCAUCUCCGGGGGUAGAGCACUGUUUCGGCAAGGGGGUCAUCCCGACUUACCAACCCGAUGCAAACUGCGAAUACCGGAGAAUGUUAUCACGGGAGACACACGGCGGGUGCUAACGUCCGUCGUGAAGAGGGAAACAACCCAGACCGCCAGCUAAGGUCCCAAAGUCAUGGUUAAGUGGGAAACGAUGUGGGAAGGCCCAGACAGCCAGGAUGUUGGCUUAGAAGCAGCCAUCAUUUAAAGAAAGCGUAAUAGCUCACUGGUCGAGUCGGCCUGCGCGGAAGAUGUAACGGGGCUAAACCAUGCACCGAAGCUGCGGCAGCGACACUAUGUGUUGUUGGGUAGGGGAGCGUUCUGUAAGCCUGUGAAGGUGGCCUGUGAGGGUUGCUGGAGGUAUCAGAAGUGCGAAUGCUGACAUAAGUAACGAUAAUGCGGGUGAAAAACCCGCACGCCGGAAGACCAAGGGUUCCUGUCCAACGUUAAUCGGGGCAGGGUGAGUCGACCCCUAAGGCGAGGCCGAAAGGCGUAGUCGAUGGGAAACAGGUUAAUAUUCCUGUACUUGGUGUUACUGCGAAGGGGGGACGGAGAAGGCUAUGUUGGCCGGGCGACGGUUGUCCCGGUUUAAGCGUGUAGGCUGGUUUUCCAGGCAAAUCCGGAAAACCAAGGCUGAGGCGUGAUGACGAGGCACUACGGUGCUGAAGCGACAAAUGCCCUGCUUCCAGGAAAAGCCUCUAAGCAUCAGGUAACAUCAAAUCGUACCCCAAACCGACACAGGUGGUCAGGUAGAGAAUACCAAGGCGCUUGAGAGAACUCGGGUGAAGGAACUAGGCAAAAUGGUGCCGUAACUUCGGGAGAAGGCACGCUGAUAUGUAGGUGAAGCGACUUGCUCGUGGAGCUGAAAUCAGUCGAAGAUACCAGCUGGCUGCAACUGUUUAUUAAAAACACAGCACUGUGCAAACACGAAAGUGGACGUAUACGGUGUGACGCCUGCCCGGUGCCGGAAGGUUAAUUGAUGGGGUUAGCGGCAACGCGAAGCUCUUGAUCGAAGCCCCGGUAAACGGCGGCCGUAACUAUAACGGUCCUAAGGUAGCGAAAUUCCUUGUCGGGU
RNAcentral lists this ribosomal RNA (1949 nucleotides) under human gut metagenome. Its description in RNAcentral is "bacterial LSU rRNA". It matches the Rfam family "Bacterial large subunit ribosomal RNA", at positions 1 to 1977 of the family's 2925-position model. The record is from RNAcentral.